This 93-nucleotide non-coding RNA is filed under the name Streptomyces griseus. Lineage: Bacteria; Bacillati; Actinomycetota; Actinomycetes; Kitasatosporales; Streptomycetaceae. The record is from RNAcentral.
GACGAGGGUGCGACGGAAGUCCGGUGGGAAUCCGGCACGGUCGCGCCACUGUGAACCCGCCCGCGCGGGGAAGUCAGACCCGGCACCUUCGUC